Molecule: ribosomal RNA, 497 nt
Filed under: uncultured bacterium
Lineage: Bacteria
Description: bacterial SSU rRNA
Rfam family: Bacterial small subunit ribosomal RNA
Source: RNAcentral
GACGAACGCUGGCGGCGUGCUUAACACAUGCAAGUCGAGCGGUAAGGCCCUUUCGGGGGUACACGAGCGGCGAACGGGUGAGUAACACGUGGGUGACCUGCCCUCAGCUCUGGGAUAAGCCUGGGAAACCGGGUCUAAUACCGGACAUGACUCCAUGACGCAUGUUGUGGGGUGGAAAGCCUUGUGCGGCUGAGGAUGGGCCCGCGGCCUAUCAGCUUGUUGGUGGGGUGAUGGCCUACCAAGGCGACGACGGGUAGCCGGCCUGAGAGGGCGACCGGCCACACUGGGACUGAGACACGGCCCAGACUCCUACGGGAGGCAGCAGUGGGGAAUCUUGCGCAAUGGGCGAAAGCCUGACGACGCAACGCCGCGUGGAGGAUGAAGGUCUUCGGAUUGUAAACUCCUGUUGCCCGGGACGAAUGGCUCCGACCUAACACGUCGGAGUGUGACGGUACCGGGUGAGGAAGCCCGGCUAACUCUGUGCCAGCCGCCGCAGU